CAGCCUAAUGUUGUUUUGGAGAGGGCCACGGGGACAGCCCAGGCAGCCAUAUUUCACCCUGAGUCCGGCAUGGGUCUUUGUGCGGUGACAGCGAGUGGCAGGCGUGAGGGCUGCCUGCCUGCCUGCCAAGAGUGACAGCACCCUCCCAUCCAGAUUGUCGGUCAGGCCAGAACAGAUGAUAUCCGAGAUGAGCUGCAGUUAUUAAAAAUGUCACCACACAAUUACCUUCCUGACAGAUGACAUCACCGUGACAUCGUCAUCAUGUGUCCCACCCUGUCUGAUGCUGAAAGUCACCUUGCUUUGGACAAACAGUCCAUUUCUGUGGCAACAUU
This is a long non-coding RNA of Micropterus dolomieu (smallmouth bass), 332 nucleotides long. RefSeq lists it as uncharacterized. Lineage: Eukaryota; Metazoa; Chordata; Actinopteri; Centrarchiformes; Centrarchidae. The transcript is spliced from 3 exons. The record is from RefSeq and is a predicted model, not a curated record.